RNAcentral lists this ribosomal RNA (317 nucleotides) under Alexandrium catenella. RNAcentral describes it as "partial Bacterial large subunit ribosomal RNA". It matches the Rfam family "Bacterial large subunit ribosomal RNA", at positions 1583 to 1883 of the family's 2925-position model. The record is from RNAcentral. Lineage: Eukaryota; Dinophyceae; Gonyaulacales; Pyrocystaceae.
UGAUGAAGUUGCUGAUGCCAUACUUCCAGGAAAAGCCUCUAAGCUUCAGAUUAUACCGAAUCGUACCCCAAACCGACACAGGUGGUCAGGUAGAGAAUACUAAGGCGCUUGAGAGAACUCGGGUGAAGGAACUAGGCAAAAUCGUACCGUAACUUCGGGAGAAGGUACGCUCCGAUUGGUGAUGAGACUUGCUCUCUAAGCUGAUUGGAGCCGCAGUGACCAGGUGGCUGGGACUGUUUAUUAAAAACACAGCACUGUGCAAAAUCGCAAGAUGACGUAUACGGUGUGACACCUGCCCGGUGCCGGAAGGUUAAUUG